Molecule: ribosomal RNA, 476 nt
Filed under: uncultured bacterium
Lineage: Bacteria
Description: SSU rRNA
Rfam family: Bacterial small subunit ribosomal RNA
Source: RNAcentral
AGGACGAACGCUGGCGGCGUGCUUAACACAUGCAAGUCGAGCGGAAAGGCCCUUCGGGGUACUCGAGCGGCGAACGGGUGAGUAACACGUGAGCAACCUGCCCCUGGCUCUGGGAUAGCCUCCGGAAACGGGGAUUAAUACCGGACAUGACCUGCUGCCGCAUGGUGGCGGGUGGAAAGUUUUUCGGCCAGGGUGGGGCUCGCGGCCUAUCAGCUUGUUGGGGGGGUGACGGCCCACCAAGGCGACGACGGGUAGCCGGCCUGAGAGGGCGACCGGCCACACUGGGACUGAGACACGGCCCAGACUCCUACGGGAGGCAGCAGUGGGGAAUAUUGCGCAAUGGGCGGAAGCCUGACGCAGCGACGCCGCGUGCGGGAUGGAAGGCCUUCGGGUUGUAAACCGCUUUCACCAGGGGCGAAGCGAGAGUGACGGUACCUGGGGAAGAAGGCGCCGGCUAACUACGCGCCAGCAGCCGC